AUGAGAACAGACUCUGCACGGGUUCUUCACAGAGACACAGCUGUUUGCAAUAGUUUGGAUAGCCCAGAUAACACUGCUACUACUGCGAGGGUUAAUCCAGUAAAAGCAUCUACUGAUAAUGCCUUUAUUUCUCCAGAGGAGAAAAGCUCAGUGCAGCAUCAGGAUACGGAUACGACAAAUUUCUCUCUUUUUACUGAACAGUCAGCUGAGAAGGAGUUAGAGACCGUGGAGAAAGGUGAGAGACGGGACGUGUUUCAGAGGGUUUCUGAAAGGUUAGCAGACGUAACUGCAGACUGCGUUUUGGAAGAUGUAGAGAAGCAGGACAGUACGGAUGCUGAUGAAGCCACCUCUCAGCAUCUUCUACACAAGAUCACGACAGUUCUGGAGGAUUCCACCAGUACGACAGGUCCAGAAGUGGAGGUUUGGCCAGGAACCUGCACUGCUGAGGUAGUACUAAAGGUGGUACUAGCGCAGGAGCCGGAGUCAGCCAGCCCGGAAAAAGAGCGCACCUUUCCUCGAGUGGGCGAGACUGUGGAGUGCCACACUCUGGUAAAAGGCCUUCGAUCAUAUGAGGUCCUUUCUCCUCCCGCGGGCUCACGGCAGGCUCCCAGCCACUGCUCCAAAUGGAGGAAAGAACUUCAAGCUGAGGAACGAGACGGAGCAGAAUCUCCUCAGGCCAAGGAAGACCUGCGUUCUGGAAAGACCUCAGUUCGAGGGUCUAUUAAAAGAGGGAUGAUGCCCCGAAGUUUCCUCUCCAACAGCACAGGCGUUCCAAAAGUGCGAGCGAAGGCUGAUUCAAACCUUCCUGAAGCUUCCUCAACCCCUCGCGCUUCACGCCUCACUCCUCCACGCACCUCCUCCAUGCGCUUAUUGCCAAUCACGCGGCCCACCAGCAUCCAAAGUGAGCUGAAACGCAGCAGCAGCACGCGAGACAAGGUCAGCGCUCAGUCUGAAACAACGGUUAAGCAAAACCGGCGACCUGCGGAGAAAUCUGGCCACGAGAAGGAGAAGACGCUCUCGAAUCGUGAGAAGUUUGUUAGAGGUUCUCCGUUACGAGUGACCAAGCGUUUCGCCUCCACUUUGGAACCUCAGAGCCCAAACCAGACUCGUACUGUUCAUAGCCCCACCGCAGCUACGAAUGCGAAAAAUAUCCGAACUGCCGUCAUCAACGCAGCCAAAGCCAAAACAGCCAAGAACACAGAGACCACCUCCGCCAAGACGACACCAGGGACGAGAAACACCGCGCCUAAAAUCCCACGAGCUGCUGCAGCUCAGCCAAUGUGGAGGUGA
RNAcentral lists this long non-coding RNA (1290 nucleotides) under Astyanax mexicanus (Mexican tetra). Its description in RNAcentral is "lncRNA (ENSAMXG00005002366.1)". Lineage: Eukaryota; Metazoa; Chordata; Actinopteri; Characiformes; Acestrorhamphidae. The record is from RNAcentral.